UACGUAGGGGGCAAGCGUUGGUCCGGAAUCAUUGGGCGUAAAGCGCGUGUAGGCGGCCAGAAAAGUCCGCUGUGAAAACUCGAGGCUCAACUUCGAGCUGUCGGUGGAAACUUUCUGGCUAGAGUCCGGAAGAGGAGAAUGGAAUUCCUGGUGUAGCGGUGAAAUGCGCAGAUAUCAGGAAGAACACCCGUGGCGAAGGCGGUUCUCUGGGACGGUACUGACGCUGAGACGCGAAAGCGUGGGGAGCGAACAGG
This 254-nucleotide ribosomal RNA is filed under the name uncultured bacterium. RNAcentral's name for it is "partial 16S ribosomal RNA". It matches the Rfam family "Bacterial small subunit ribosomal RNA", at positions 524 to 776 of the family's 1533-position model. The record is from RNAcentral.